AAGAUGGCUUAAGUAGAAGAAAGUGUGCUAAAUCAAAAUUCAGCAUGUGACAAGAAGACUUGAAUUGCUUUUGAUGUCAUUUCCUCCAGCUGAUCCUCAACAGGAUGCAUUUACGGUCCUCAUCUCUUGCCACUUCUUUUGCCACUACGAACCAGUAUGAUCAGUGUUAUAAUCAGUCUAACUUUCCUGCUUUACUGGACUCCAGUUUUAGCCGGAGAGAAUGGAGUCACCCAAAACCCCAGUGUUGCCUGGCAUCUGAAAGGAGAAGCUGCUGAAAUGAAGUGCAGUCAUAAUAAAGGUGUUAGCUAUUAUCAGAUGGAUUGGUACAGACAGCGCCAAGGAGAGAGUAUGGAGCUCAUCGUGUACACAUCGACCAGCAGUGAACCAGAGUUUGGCUCUGUUGAUAAAAAGAAAUUUUCUGCUGUUAAAGAAAUUGCUGCAGAUGGAUCUUUAACUGUGAAGGAUGUGGAUACAGAGGACAGCGCUGUAUAUUUCUGUGCAGUAAGAGAACACAGUGUUACAGAGCUACUGCACUGCUGAACAAAAACACCUGCACUGAUGUUACUGCACUAACUAAUAAAACAGACAGAGGGAGUCCUAAUGUAAUAAAUAAUCAGAGUAAUCUCUUUUCCUUUUUCAAAACUGGGCAGUGGAACUCAAAACAUGUCUCACUAUUCCAGACUAUUAUCAUAUAGACUGUCCACUGGAGAUGGAACAAUAACAUAAUAAUAAUAACUCAGUUAAAUAUUAUUGGAGUGCAGUGGAAUCCAUGUGUACUUUUCAGCUGAAUACAUGCCAGGACAUGACUGUAUAAUACUGUACAAUAAUUCAGUACAGAAUGGUUAUAAACCUUUACUAUCAUCCAGAGAAAUAGCAUUGUAUAAACACUGCAGCUAGCUUAAGCUCAUCCUAUAAUAUAAAAUUGACUUCUACCCUCAUUUGUUUGAUCACUCAUUCGACUUUGCAGUGAUAUCAUUUAGCUCUGUUUCAAAAGGAGGGAUUUUGUACAACAUUACUGCAUCAGUCAUACCAUAGCAUAGCAUACCAGUAAUCCAACAUUUUCUGUUAAUCUUAAAUUACGAAAAAUAACGUGAUAAAGCUGUUAUGGAAAAUGCUAAAUAAAUGUCUCUUUUUAACCUGUUUAUAUGGAGCAUCUUCCAUGCAAGUCCCUGUGUAAGCUGUUAUUAUAGUAACAAUAAUAUAUUAGAAUAAUUACAUUAAUAUAAACCUUGUAGCUGGCACUACUAUCAAUACCUUCUGACUAAUCAAAAUCAAGCAUUAAAUAAUGCUGGGGUAAUUUUUAAUGCAUUGUUAGAACCUUUUUUUUUUUUUUUUUUUUGACAACCACCAUUGAGCUACUUUUGGAAAAGGACUAUUGCUAUUUUCUGAUAAUCUGUACAAGUAUUGUACAUCAGACUGUGACGUGCAUCAUUAAAUUUGAAAAACUUAAGCAAGGACAGUGUUCUUUCCACUUUGGCCUAAUUUCUAUACUUCUCAACACAGAUGCAGUUCUUAUUUUCCUCAUAUGUGGCACUGUGCUGUUAAAUUGUGGGAGGAAACCUGAUCACAUGUUUUACUACAUCAGACACUUAAGUGCAAUAUCAGCUCAGUUUAAAACAGACAUUCAGACUUUCAACAUGAUCCGAGCUGCCAGUGUUAUAUGGGUUUUAAUGAUAUGUCCCGGAGGGUUUUCUCAGAGUAAUCGUGUCAUCCAGAAUCCUCCUGAUCUCUUUGGCAACCAUAAAGAAUCUGUUAAAAUCCAGUGUGAACACAGUGUACCAAAUUAUAAUCAAAUCAAC
This is a long non-coding RNA of Pangasianodon hypophthalmus (striped catfish), 1799 nucleotides long. RefSeq lists it as uncharacterized. NCBI's taxonomy places the organism in Eukaryota, Metazoa, Chordata, Actinopteri, Siluriformes, Pangasiidae. The transcript has 3 exons. The record is from RefSeq and is a predicted model, not a curated record.